Molecule: ribosomal RNA, 301 nt
Filed under: uncultured bacterium
Lineage: Bacteria
Description: partial 16S ribosomal RNA
Rfam family: Bacterial small subunit ribosomal RNA
Source: RNAcentral
CAGUCGCCACGGUAAUACGAAGGGGGCUAGCGUUGUUCGGAUUUACUGGGCGUAAUGGGCGCGUAGGCGGACUGAUAAGUCAGGGGUGAAAUCCCAAGGCUCAACCUUGGAACUGCCUUUGAUACUGUUUGUCUUGAGUUCGAGAGAGGUAAGUGGAACUGCGAGUGUGGAGGUGAAAUUCGUAGAUAUUCGCAAGAACACCAGUGGCGAAGGCGGCUUACUGGCUCGAAACUGACGCUGAGGCGCGAAAGCGUGGGGAGCAAACAGGAUUAGAUACCCGCGUAGUCCCUGUCUCUUAUAC